CGCUAACACUCCUACGGGAGGCAGCAGUGGGGAAUAUUGCACAAUGGGCGCAAGCCUGAUGCAGCCAUGCCGCGUGUAUGAAGAAGGCCUUCGGGUUGUAAAGUACUUUCAGCAGUGAGGAAGGCGGGUACGUUAAUAGCGUGCUUGUUUGACGUUAGCGACAGAAGAAGCACCGGCUAACUCCGUGCCAGCAGCCGCGGUAAUACGGAGGGUGCGAGCGUUAAUCGGAAUUACUGGGCGUAAAGCGCAUGCAGGCGGCCUGUUAAGUCAGAUGUGAAAGCCCGGGGCUUAACCUCGGAAUUGCAUUUGAAACUGGCAGGCUAGAGUCUUGUAGAGGGGGUAGAAUUUCAGGUGUAGCGGUGAAAUGCGUAGAGAUCUGAAGGAAUACCAGUGGCGAAGGCGGCCCCCUGGACAAAGACUGACGCUCAGAUGCGAAAGCGUGGGGAGCAAACAGGAUUAGAUACCCUGGUAG
RNAcentral lists this ribosomal RNA (472 nucleotides) under uncultured bacterium. Its description in RNAcentral is "bacterial SSU rRNA". It matches the Rfam family "Bacterial small subunit ribosomal RNA", at positions 328 to 793 of the family's 1533-position model. The record is from RNAcentral.